This 207-nucleotide unclassified non-coding RNA is filed under the name soil metagenome. RNAcentral describes it as "partial contains 5.8S ribosomal RNA, internal transcribed spacer 2, and large subunit ribosomal RNA". The record is from RNAcentral.
AACCAUAGAAACCUGCGGAGUACCUGCGGAGGGAUCAUUACCGAGUUUACAACUCCCAAACCCCUGUGAACAUACCACUUGUUGCCUCGGCGGAUCAGCCCGCUCCCGGUAAAACGGGACGGCCCGCCAGAGGACCCCUAAACUCUGUUUCUAUAUGUAACUUCUGAGUAAAACCAUAAAUAAAUCAAAACUUUCAACAACGGAUCU